AUACGUGCGCCACUCAACUGAAGAGAAAUGAAGCUGGCCUGGUUACAGCACAGCAAUUAGAUUUUAGAGCACAACAAGCUUUAGGUUACAUCCUUUUUGCUUAUCUGAAGGGAUUACAAAACGCCUUGUCUAAUUGCAACAAAUGCCUCAGAAAUCCGAAAACUGAGUUCGCCACGUUGAGUUAACUAAAUAAUUCCACAGUCAUCAACGACAAAUGAAUGCGUACAGCAUUAUUCGCAAUAGUGCAAUGGAGAGCGGAGUUCAAGCCUAAUAUAAAAUAGCUAAGUACACGUGUUAACAAAAAAAGGUAGCAAGGUUUUUUUUACCGAAAUCCUGGAAAUAUUCUCUUGUUGAGGAGAUACAUCAUUGCUUAGAUACAAAUUUAGCCUUUGCGCCAACCCUCCUCAUUUCUUUCUCUGUGAAAUAUUUUUUAAAAUGUAGCCAAUUUACUCCGGGACACAUACGGGAGAUUGUUUAACAAUGGGUACUGUGUAAAUCAUUUUAUUGUAGUUUCAAAUCUGUAGCUAUUGCAAAUAGUACAAAUUACUCAUAAUUUAUUAAAAUGAUUCGGACAUAAUUUUAAAAGAAAUGUUGCAAGGGGAAACUGGUAAAACUGAUGGCCAGCGUUUUUUUUAAACGUAGGCCGAAUCCCCUUUUCGUUGCUGUUUUGAAACUGGGAUGCACGAGAAAAUGAAUCGAAACUUACGCCGUUAAGGUCGAGAAUUAUACGCUUUCGUAAAAUUAGCUGGGAAUGCAAUCCAUUUGAAGUGAUAUUUCUGUAGUCGCUUGUACAAUUUCACUUUUCGUUACCGAAUAGUGAUUUCUUUAACCAAUGAAAAAGAAAAAAACUCUGAAAUCCUUCUUCUGGAACCCCACUCCAAAACGUAGAUGACUAUGAUAGUAGCAUUCAACAUCAAUCUAUUGCCCAAACAUCAUAUUUUACAGAUUAGAGAAAUGGGCAUCACUGCAACAAAGGAGAAUGCAGAUGCCAAAAUGGUGUGUGCUUGUGAAAGUUAUAGUUGCAAUCGAUGUGAAUUUUAAUAGAAAAUCGUUCACAUUCUUCACGCAAGUCGUUUAAAGUCGAAAGUUCCACUUUGCCUCUAUUUUGUAAUAAAUUUCUAAAAUGUUAUAUGGAAUCGUUUAUUUUGAAUUGAUUAAAUGCUUACAUCCGUUUGAUUUAGAGCGUUUUUUUUAAUUUAAGAUUAUAAUUGUUAAGCUUGUACUUUGAAAUUAGUCCAAAAAGUCAGGCUACAGAUAGUACUAUUAUUCACGUUUUCAAAAUGUGAUCUGGCUAUGAAAACUUAUGACUUUUCUUAUAACCGAUUUACAGCGAAUCUGUUCUCAUUUACAGUUUUUUACAUUGUUACAGUGGAGCGACAGCACCGCCUAGUGGACCAUCCAAUGAAGUACACGUGAAAACGCAUUGAGACUUCUUUGGUUUUUCACGGAAUCAUUCAAGAACUAGUUGACAUGCUUGUAAAGAAACGAAACACAAAAAGGAGUUCCAGUGAGAUCUCAAUAAAUGCUAAAGGUUGCUUUACAUAUAAUUAUUCAGUACUGUCACUGAAGUUUGCUUGAUGUGUAGUGCACUUUGUAAAAAAAAUCUCAGCGUCCAUGGCUCUCCCAGUGAAUCUACACGUUUAAAGUUGAUGACCUAAGCCAAUAGGUUUCCCCGUCGAUGAUAUUGUUAUUGAACUAGAUAUGCGGAUUAAUCGAUAUAUAAGUUUGCCUUAUGGUGAAGUGUACUUCACUGCACUACCUAUAUGUAUGUUUGGGAAUAGAUAAGUUUGUCCAAACUCAAGAAACAAAGACGAAUUGAUUGUCUUCGCUCCUUUGACCAGUAUCUGCGUUUUUGUUUGUUAUUAACAGCCAAAAACAUCUGAAUUGGUUGAUUUCAAAGAAGUCUGCAAUUACAUGAAGAAAACUAUAAAGUCAUUAGGUCAGACGUCUAGCCAGUUGUGGGGUUUAUAGUACCCCGUUCCUUCCGGUUCUAAAGUACUGUAUGUAGAAUUGUGGCAAUAGAUGGCGUUGUAAUUCAACACCUUCUGAGCACUAAAGUUUUCAGAAGAUUCUCCAAAAAGAAUGAAGGUCUAGUUUUACAAGGACCCGCAAUUGUUUUCAGUCUGAAACAUUAAUGAGAUAGUGGCAUGAAAUAAAGUGUUCUGUGACCACUUAGGUGUAUAAUGAUUAUAAACCCGCACUAGGGUUUUGCCAGCAAUGUGUGCUUAGUUGUUUAUUUUUAUAUCUUUAACUAAAGCACCUAGUGUAUUUGCAACUAUGAAUCAUUCCAACGUGCUAUGUGUCGGAUACCGCGACAAUAAUAUAAAUAACUUAUUGUUCCUACAACAGACGAUAAACUAUCGACAUUUUGCGACACAACCGAUCGAAAGUAACUUCCUUCGAGCAAAUACCAACUCACAUACUAAGAAAAUAAUCGAAGUCUAUUGAUUAAAAAUGUCUUAAUUUUACAAAAUACUUUUGAGUUGCAUUUGCUAUUGGACUACAUGUGACAGUAUGCGUUUGGAUGAUAAUUGGUAGUUAUUAAAAUUCAGGAUUCCGGAAUUGUUUUUACAAUUUAUACCAACCAGGAGUCUUCUUCCUUCACGAGGUCAAUACUA
Chiloscyllium plagiosum (whitespotted bambooshark) is the source of this 2618-nucleotide non-coding RNA. NCBI's taxonomy places the organism in Eukaryota, Metazoa, Chordata, Chondrichthyes, Orectolobiformes, Hemiscylliidae. The record is from RefSeq and is a predicted model, not a curated record.